AUUCCAGCUCCAAUAGCGUAUAUUAAAGUUGUUGCAGUUAAAAAGCUCGUAGUUGAACCUUGGACAAAGUGCGCGUGGUCUACCGCAAGGUACGACUGCGGCGCUGCGUCUCUUUAGGGGGACUCGAUGCUUCGGUGUCGAGGUAACCCGUGUUACUGUGAAGAAAUUAGAGUGUUUAAAGCAGGCUAUCGCUUGAAUACAUCAGCAUGGAAUAACAAGUUGGACUUUGCUCCUACUUGUUGGUUUGAGGGGAAAAGUAAUGAUUAAUAGGGCCAGUUGGGGGCAUUAGUAUUCAGUAGUCAGAGGUGAAAUUCUUGGAUUUACUGAAGACUAACUAGUGCGAAAGCAUUUGCCAAGGAUGUUUUCAUUA
This 370-nucleotide ribosomal RNA is filed under the name Rozellomycota sp. Its description in RNAcentral is "Cryptomycota sp. partial small subunit ribosomal RNA". It matches the Rfam family "Eukaryotic small subunit ribosomal RNA", at positions 582 to 975 of the family's 1831-position model. The record is from RNAcentral. Lineage: Eukaryota; Fungi; Rozellomycota.